Brassica rapa (field mustard) is the source of this 3868-nucleotide long non-coding RNA. RefSeq lists it as uncharacterized. NCBI's taxonomy places the organism in Eukaryota, Viridiplantae, Streptophyta, Magnoliopsida, Brassicales, Brassicaceae. The record is from RefSeq and is a predicted model, not a curated record.
AGUUACAAGGUGUUCACAUCAAGGUGCACAUGUAUGUGUAUGUAAAGUAUAUAAGAAUAGUUGACAAAUAUAUAAAGAUAUUGUUAAUUAAUAUUAAAUGACAUUUUUGUUUAAAAUAAUACAUAAAAGAUAAAAUUAAAAUUAAUUUAAAAUAAAAAAGGCCUUGACAUUAGUCAUUUUUUUCAUAUAAAGAAAAUAAAAUUGUAUCCGUAAAUAGAGGUGGGCACUGAUUGAAUAUCUGAGUAUUUGGAAGCAUUCGUGUCGAUUCGAUCUUUAGCCACCUAGAUAUUCGGUGACUCGGAUAUCCGAAAUAUUUUAGAAUUUUAAAGAAUAUCCGAUUUGAUCCGUAAAUAAAAUAAAAUUUUAAAAAUAACUGAAAAAUUAAUAAUAACAUUUUAUUAAAAAAUAAAACACUAUUUAACUUAUAAAAUUUUAGUACCUAAUAUAAUAAAUUUAAUUCAUAAAAAUAUUGUAAAACUGAUAUAAAGUAUAAUAUAUAUAACAUACAUAUAUAAUUAUUUACAUAAAUGUAUAAAAUGCAUAUAACAUAUCGAAUUAGAUAUCUGUUCCUUAAAAUAUUGGCAUUUGUGAUUUGAUUCUUUUUGGAUAUUGUAUUUUAGUAUUUGAUUGGUUUCAUAGAGACACGGAUAUCCAGAUUUUUUGGUUCAAAUCAAAACGGAUAACGAAUUAAAUCAAAAUUUCUGAAUAUUUUGCUCAACUUUAUCCGUAAACAAUAAAAAUGAUAUAUAUAUAUAUAUAGUUUGACUUUUGAUACGUUAUCUAUUUUUAUUCGAAACAAAAAAUCCAGAGUUUUAUUGAAACCAUGUAUGUGAGUUUUAUAUUAAAAAAGUACAAAGUACAUAGUGUGAACACAUUUAUGAAUAUAGUGUGAACGCGUUAGCAUAAUUAUUAUCAAAUCAUUGUGAGGCUGCCACGUGUUUAUUAUUGUGUGAAUGCAUUUAUUACAACGCUUCUCUUUUAAUAUAUAAGGGAUGGUUAGACCCAUAUAUAAAGGUGCCAUACAUAUAUAAAUGUGAACACUGAAGCAAGCUAACUAUUUAAAAUGAUGGGUAAAUAAUUUACGAUAUAGUUAUGUAUAUGAUUACUGGUAAAUUAAUUUAGGCUAAAGGGUAAUUGUUUACUAUGAUUGGGUCCAUUUUAUAAUGCAAAGCCAUACAUAAGCGAGUCAACGAUGCAGCAAGCUAACUAUUUUAAUUUACUACCUGUUAAUUAAUUUAUGUUACGGGCUUAUUUUUUACCCUUGUUCGAAAACUCUCGCUAGGUGCUACGCGUGCGGCACAUACCGGCCUAGCGAUUUAUUAGAAAAGAGGAAAAAACUCGGGGAGUAAUCGGGAAAGAAUUUUUUUGUACUUUUAUAUAUAUAAUACCUUAUUUAUAUGUAUAAUACCAAAUAUUUAUAUAUAAUAAAUACAAGUUUAUGUAUAAAAUAUCAUUGGUACUAAAAUAGAAAUUUGUAAAUACAUAUCAAAUUAGAUCACAAAAUAUAAUUAUGUCUAUUGCAGUUUAAAUAUAGUAUAUUUAUAAUAAGGUUUUGUGGAAUAUUACAAAUAAAUUAAUGUGGUCCGGUGUUAAAGUUUUCAGUAAGUUACUUAUGUCUAUGUUGUAGAUUCGAUUUUUGUUUGUUAUUUAAAUAUUGACUUUUAUUGUAGAGAGUUGUGAAUCUCAACAUCCCACAUCGGACGUUUGUAAACUGGUGCAGAAGGAAUGACUAGUAUAAAUAGAGCACGUAUUAUAGACUUUAGGAAACUCAAUCAGGCUUUAAAAAAGGCAAAGCCCAUUUUUAUUGGGCUUAACCUAGAAAAUUUUGUUAUUAAUCGUCAGUUAAUUCGAUUUAAUAGCGCAUUGUUUUAUUAAGCGGCCGGUUUGUUUUUUUAGCGAUUUACCAAACCGAUUGGUUAAAAUCACCACGGUUGGACUCCGAGUUGCGAUUACCCGGCUGCAAAACCGGCUACUCGGCCGAGUUUUUGAACAAAGUUUUUUACUAUGAUUGAGCCCAUUUUAUAACGUGAAGCCAUACAUAUAAAUGUCAACGAUGUAACAGCCUAAAUAUUUUAUAAAGACGGGCAAACACUACAAAAAAACCUCCAUAUUAGCGCGAGGAAACCACUAUCAUAUGCCUGGGAUAGCGUAUUAUGAACUGCUAUGUCUGCUAUAAUAGUUCUCCCUUAUUAUAGCGGUUUCUCACAUGCUAUCGUAGCGAAAACAUAUGAUAGCAGUGUUUUUGUGUUUUCUGUUAUAUUGUUAACAUUAUAAUAGCGUUGUUUCCGACGGCUACAUUUGUUAUUUCAAUAGCAUAUCUUGAAGGCUAUAAUUGUUUUUUUCAUAUUGCACUAUUGGAUGUUUUACUUUUCUAUAUUACAGCGGUUUUAUAGAUGCUAUUGGUUAAUGGUUAGUUUUUUUUUGUAGCUAAUACAAUAUGUUAUUAGUAGUUUGACGUAUACCACAACCUGUUUGAUUUGUAUUGAAAGACACACAUUCAUAAAUUCAAACGCACAAAUUUUCGUAAUGGCGCCUAAAAUUUUCACCAAAAUAUUCAAUUACUACCAUAAAAUAAUUUCCCAAAUCUCUCUGCCAAAAUAUUUCUACACUUUCUUUUUAACUCUUCUUCUCCGUGGAAACACUCUUAUCGCCGACAAAGACCAACCCAAUCUCAACUCUCAUUCACGACAAAUUAUCACAGCUUGUCUCAAUAGUACUUCUCUUUUCCAAAACUCUGUUGCAAUAUAUUGUUCUUCAAAUCGAUUUGGGUUUAUGGGUGUUGGUUAGGGUUUCUGUUUUCAAAUCGAUUUAGGGUUUAUUUCUUAUAAUCUCUGCGUUUCCAAUCAAAUUAGGGUUCAUAUUUUCAAGUCGAUCUGGGUUCAUUUCUUCUAUCAAUUUCUGUGUCUUCAGUCAGUUUAUGGUUUGUAUUUCAAAAUCGAACUGGGGUUAAUAAGUCUCUGCGUUUUCAUAUCUUCUUUAAGUCUCUUAUUAAACUAUGUGAUUCAUUGAUUUAGGGCUCUAGUAUGCAUCCACCAAGAAGAGGCAGUUUCCCUACAAGAGCUACUAUUGAACAAGGCGCAAUAAAUUUUAUGAAGAACACCUCUCAGGCAGGUAUACAUCAACACAUUUCUGUUUCCAAAUCUUAUGCCAAGGUCAAAUAAGAUAUCGUACAAGAAUCUUGUCCUUAUUGUCUUAUUGUGUAUUGUUAAGAUUAUGUAUGUCCUUGCGACUCUUUUAUACCAUUUGCCUUGUGUUUAUAGAUCAUGUAGAUGGGGGAGGAGCCAGCUAUACUGACUUAGAGGGGUAGAUCCACAUGAAGAUUGUUGGAGACGUUGAGUCUAUUGUUGUUUUACAACACUUCUCCAACACUGAUGGCGAUGAGAAUAAAGUUGAGUAUUAUUAUUUUUAAGAUUCUGUAUUUCCCUUGUGGCUCUUUUUCUGUAAUUUUGUUUCUUGUUUUCUGGUUUAUUAGGUAGUCAACCCUCACAAACGAUGUUUGUUUGGACUUGGAACAACACAAAUGGAGAACAAUUAUCACAUUGAUCCACCAGCCCGUCCUUCUUACUCGUCAAUCUCGUUUAGAGAAGUUGAUUACUUUGACUGAAACUGUCUACUUGAUGAGCUAGCAGCUCACUGCCUUGUGUGAAGCUAGAGGAACUACCAACUCUUCUCCAUCCUCACCUCCUAGCACCAAUGAGCAGAGAAUCUAGAUGAUGUUGAUGACUUACUACAAUCAACUGAAGACAUAACACUUAGAAUCUUUUGUGUUUAGUUUGAACUAUUGUUAUGUCAUUAGUUUCGACCUAUUUGGUUUAAUAUUUUGUUUUCUACUAGUAAUGAAUGCAAUGUUUCUAUUAUGUUUUGGGAA